This 391-nucleotide ribosomal RNA is filed under the name uncultured bacterium. RNAcentral's name for it is "bacterial SSU rRNA". It matches the Rfam family "Bacterial small subunit ribosomal RNA", at positions 505 to 898 of the family's 1533-position model. The record is from RNAcentral.
GUGUCAGCAGCCGCGGUAAUACGGAGGGUGCGAGCGUUAUCCGGAUUUAUUGGGUUUAAAGGGUCCGCAGGCGGAUUUGUAAGUCAGGGGUGAAAUCCGGCAGCUUAACUGUCGAAUUGCCUUUGAUACUGCAGAUCUUGAGUGAGGUUGAAGUAGCUGGAAUGUGUAGUGUAGCGGUGAAAUGCAUAGAUAUUACACAGAACACCAAUUGCGUAGGCAGGUUACUAAGUCUCAACUGACGCUGAGGGACGAAAGCGUGGGUAGCGAACAGGAUUAGAUACCCUGGUAGUCCACGCCGUAAACGAUGGAUACUGUCUGUUGGGGCGCGAGCUUCAGUGGAUAAGCGAAAGUGAUAAGUAUCCCACCUGGGGAGUACGUUCGCAAGAAUGAA